CUGGUCUAUAGUCUAGGAGAGGGAAAAGAGGGAGAAGGAGUGAGCAUAAACAAGGCCAAAAAAGGAAGUAGCUUCCUCCAUACUUCUACCUGGUCAAGUAGAAGCCUCCCUAUGUUGGCUCUGUCUCAUCAGAUUCCCCACCCACCACUCCCACAGCCCCAUUGCUAAAGUUCCACCCUCACAGUCCUCCCUCUCUUAUUACCAGCUAUGUUUUACCUACUCCUUUCCCUAGUCUCCUCAGGGUCAGGCAUCCUCUCCGACUACUCCCUCAGCUGCAGAUCCCCACCCUCCUCUGAAUCCCAGCGGCCUUCGGCUUCAACAGAAGUUCACUGAAUGUCGUUAAGGAUCAGACCUGUGUGCUGAGGAUUCAAAAUCAUCUCCGUUCCACCUUUUCCCCCACCUUGAUACCCCAUCGCCCCUACAACCGCCUCCCCGAAGGACACCUUGACCAGAGAACACAGCAAACAAGCCCGUAGAUGCCGUAGGUCCUUCGGCACCGUCUCCAGGGCCAUCCUCUCCGACAAAUGAACAGCAAAGAUUUGGGCCACGGCCUCCUCAGCCGCAGGAAGUAAACAGCGAUUUACCCAGAA
Panthera uncia (snow leopard) is the source of this 590-nucleotide long non-coding RNA. RefSeq lists it as uncharacterized. Lineage: Eukaryota; Metazoa; Chordata; Mammalia; Carnivora; Felidae. The transcript has 2 exons. The record is from RefSeq and is a predicted model, not a curated record.